CCCAGGCCUCCUAAAGUGUUGGGAUUACAGGCGUGAGCCAUUGUGCCCGGCAAGAGAGGCUUUCUUAAUUUCCCUUCUCAACGACCUGUUAAUUAAUCUUCCUCUUCAAACCCUGCUAUUGGUGAAGCCAGUCGGGUUUCUUACUUUGCUCUUUUGCCGAGUCAGGAGCCAGCUGGAAUGGGUCACUGACACUGUCAAGUUCAGAGGUGGUGAGAGACACAGAUUGCAGGUAUCUUUGUAAGUUCCAAUUCGUCCCCCACACCAGGUUCAGCUUGUCUUUACUCUCCCCUGAGUCACUUCGAGUUUGGUUCUACUGAUCUACAGGAAGCUUCUUCCCACCACUGAAUUCAAGGGACAGUCUUCCCAUAUGUCUUUACCAGCUCUCGCAAAUGAAGACAGAGCCUGUCUAUGUCAUUCAGACUGGCCUCAAA
Molecule: long non-coding RNA, 431 nt
Filed under: Homo sapiens (human)
Lineage: Eukaryota; Metazoa; Chordata; Mammalia; Primates; Hominidae
Description: HSALNT0346309
Source: RNAcentral